CACCGUCGUGCCGCACUUCAAGUAAAUCUUCCGUGUCGCUGGUUGACGUCACGCCGGCGACCCCGGAUGGUAGCGCAGCUCUGCCUGGCCCCUUCCGUAACCUCUGUUUCGCCCCUUCCGAAACCAGUGGCGAAAAGCCGAGACGACUUCGUGAGUUCUUGCUAACGAUUCUCGGCCUAGGCGCUGAGUCGAGUCACGCUGGAUCUCGGACAGGGAUUGCAAGGACUUUGGAGUGAUCAGUGUAAAAUCUCACCCUUUCCUACUUGCCAAGAAAACCCUGGACAAGAGUCUUGAAUUUUGACGCCCUGUCUCCUCAUUCAUAAAGGGGGGAUAAAAAUGUCUCCUAAGGCUAUAAAGAAGAAAUCUUUGUGAAAUAUGAUAAUGAUUGGUUUUCAUUCACUCGACAUUUUCUGAGAACUUUGCCCAAGACUGAUGGGGACAGUGACUGCAGUGGCGAAACCUACAAGCAAAGUCCCUUUCAUGAUGAAAUUGACGUUUUAAGAAAUCUGCAACUUUUAAUAGGAUCCGUAAAGAAAACAAAGCAGUUCUGAGGUGAAGUGAAUUCCCUAAGCCCUGAGUACAAUAACUGUGGUGUCUGUGAAAUAGAACUUCCAAACUUCCUCAUGCUGAAGACAAGCGCCGAGGAAGUUUAAACUAAUAUUCUUAGGCUGGCUAAGCACAACCUAGAGCUUGUUUCUAUAAUCUAUAUAGAAUCUAUAAUCUAUAUCCAUCCUAAUCUUUGUUUCUAUAAAUUGUAACCAUUCUGUAGGACCAGUGGAGAAACAUGGUAGUUGCUUCUCCUCGUUUUGAUUAAACUGCAUAAAAUCAUUUUUUUCUUUUACAUCCUUUGCUUACAGCUUAGGCCGGUAGGUAGCAUAAUCCAGCCAGCCAGGAUCCAGGCCAGGCGGAGUCUCUUGCUUGGCUGCAGGUAACACUUGUUAAGUUGUUGUAUGGUAGCAGAGAGGAGAGAAUCAGGCUUCUGUUUCGUUUUCUUUUCAGGAGUAGGGGUGAGAGCAGCUCAGCACCUACAGUACCUGAAAACGCCUAGAAUGGAUAUGUCCUUAGUUGUUGAUGACAGGCAAGCUGUGACAUGUUUUUUAAAACAAGCAGGAAAAGAUCUCAACUCAACUGCACUUUUACAGCUUAUCACAAGCUUCUCAAACU
This 1164-nucleotide long non-coding RNA is filed under the name Marmota monax (woodchuck). Lineage: Eukaryota; Metazoa; Chordata; Mammalia; Rodentia; Sciuridae. The record is from RNAcentral.